AAUAGAUACCCCGGUAGUCCACGCCGUAAACGAUGAGUGCUAAGUGUUGGGGGGUUUCCGCCCCUCAGUGCUGCAGCUAACGCAUUAAGCACUCCGCCUGGGGAGUACGGUCGCAAGACUGAAACUCAAAGGAAUUGACGGGGGCCCGCACAAGCGGUGGAGCAUGUGGUUUAAUUCGAAGCAACGCGAAGAACCUUACCAGGUCUUGACAUCCCGGUGACCACUAUGGAGACAUAGUUUCCCCUUCGGGGGCAACGGUGACAGGUGGUGCAUGGUUGUCGUCAGCUCGUGUCGUGAGAUGUUGGGUUAAGUCCCGCAACGAGCGCAACCCUUAUUCUUAGUUGCCAUCAUUCAGUUGGGCACUCUAAGGAGACUGCCGGUGAUAAACCGGAGGAAGGUGGGGAUGACGUCAAAUCAUCAUGCCCCUUAUGACCUGGGCUACACACGUGCUACAAUGGACGGUACAAACGGUUGCCAACCCGCGAGGGGAGCUAAUCCGAUAAAACCGUUCUCAGUUCGGAUUGUAGGCUGCAACUCGCCUAC
Molecule: ribosomal RNA, 543 nt
Filed under: uncultured bacterium
Lineage: Bacteria
Description: bacterial SSU rRNA
Rfam family: Bacterial small subunit ribosomal RNA
Source: RNAcentral